AAAUGUCGUAACAAGGUUUCCGUAGGUGAACCUGCGGAAGGAUCAUUACAAAGUAAAUGCUGGUAGGAAGUGGGGUCCUGAUCUGUAAGUGGUAGAGCGAACAGUCCGGCUGCCUCCCGAAACUGUCUUACAUGUCCCCCAACAGCCUGAAGGCCGAAUUUACAACCCUUGAUUAUCUACACUUGUUGCUUUGGGGUGCUCAAGUGCCCCAGAGGACACACUCUUCUGCAUUUAGAUGACGUCUGAGCAUCUAUAUAAUUAAUUUCAAAUUC
RNAcentral lists this unclassified non-coding RNA (272 nucleotides) under plant metagenome. RNAcentral's name for it is "partial contains small subunit ribosomal RNA and internal transcribed spacer 1". The stretch from base 1 to 48 matches the Rfam family "Eukaryotic small subunit ribosomal RNA", at positions 1784 to 1831 of the family's 1831-position model. The record is from RNAcentral.